Non-coding RNA from Chelonoidis abingdonii (Abingdon island giant tortoise), 102 nucleotides. The record is from RefSeq and is a predicted model, not a curated record. Lineage: Eukaryota; Metazoa; Chordata; Testudines; Testudinidae.
UAGCUACCACAUGAGAUAUGAUAGAUAGGAUGCUUUAGAGUGGGCCCGAAGGCCCACAAGAUAGGCUGAGGAGGUGAUCACAGGCUUGAUGCAUGAACAAGG